CCUGCCCGGUGACCGGCCUCCCAGCAGCACCACUGGACCCCAGGGAAUCUCCUCAGCUCUCCCAAAGGUAAGGAGGCUGGGGGAUUAAAUUUAAAAAAACAAACAAAAAAAAAACAUGUGUUUGUGUUAGAGUGUGUGUUAGUUUUUGUCAGUGUGUGUUGCUGUGUGUGUGUCUGCUAGUGAGUGUGUUAGUUUGUGUGUCUGUUAUUGAGUGUGUGUCUGUUAUUGAGUGUGUGUCUGCUAGUGUCAGUAUGUGUGUCCGUAAGUGUUAGUUUGUGUGUCAGUGAGUGUGUUACUGUGUGUUUCUGUUACUGAGUGUUUGUGUGUCUGUUAGUGUUUGUCAGUGAGUAUGUAUGUCACUGAGUGUGUCUCUGUCAGUAAAUGAGUGUGU
This is a non-coding RNA of Pelobates cultripes (western spadefoot toad), 391 nucleotides long. NCBI's taxonomy places the organism in Eukaryota, Metazoa, Chordata, Amphibia, Anura, Pelobatidae. The record is from the annotation of a GenBank genome assembly.